GACCAAGGAGUCUAACACGCGCGCAAGUCGCAGGGCCGUACGAAACCCGAAGGCGCAACGAAAGUGAAGGCCGCUCUCGAGAGCGGCUCGGGCGGGAUCCGCGGCGGAGAAAUCCGCCGCGGCGCACCGCCGGCCCGUCUCGGCCGCGACGUCGGCGAGGCGGAGCAAGAGCGCGCGCGUUGGGACCCGAAAGAUGGUGAACUAUGCCCGAGCAGGACGAAGCCAGAGGAAACUCUGGUGGAGGUCCGCAGCGAUUCUGACGUGCAAAUCGAUCGUCGAACUUGGGUAUAGGGGCGAAAGACUAAUCGAACCGUCUAGUAGCUGGUUCCUGUCGAAGUUUCCCUCAGGAUAGCUGGCGCUCGUUGCAGUUUUAUCCGGUAAAGCGAAUGAUUAGAGGCCUUGGGGACGAAACGACCUCAACCUAUUCUCAAACUUUAAAUGGGUAAGAAGUCCGACUCGCUCGAUCGGAGCCGGGCCGUUGCGAAUGCGAGUGCCAAGUGGGCCACUUUUGGUAAGCAGAACUGGCGCUGUGGGA
Molecule: ribosomal RNA, 535 nt
Filed under: Theromyzon rude
Lineage: Eukaryota; Metazoa; Annelida; Clitellata; Rhynchobdellida; Glossiphoniidae
Description: partial 28S ribosomal RNA
Rfam family: Eukaryotic large subunit ribosomal RNA
Source: RNAcentral